GUUUGCAGAAGAUAUAGAAAAAGCGGGCUUGAGAGGGUGGUCAUGUGAUGAGUCAGGGACAACCAAGGCCCUUGGGUCAUCCAGAGCCUCUCUGGACAGGCUGCUUCCUGAGCUCCUCCCAACUGCUCAGUCAUGCCAGGCAGAGCAAACUCUCCAGCCAGAGAUGUUAUAUAAGCUGCAUUUUUUUUUUUUGUUUACAGGAAAAUUUGAAAACAUCAACGGGGCUUGGCCUAAGCUGCUUAAUUCCUAAAGUCAACAAAAAUUGGGCAAGUAAGGCAGGCAUGUGCAAAGCAUCUGUUUAGGCCCAAAGCCAGGGCUAGCACGGGCAGCCCCUGGUCAUCUCUAGCUCAGCCUACUCUUGGUCCCAAGAUUCAAAAUCGGAAAUGCCUGGGGGAAGCCAUGUACUCGUGGAUGCACGGCUUCCACGCACACUCACUAUGGGCCUGGACCCUCUGCCAGGCGCUGAAGUUCUCUCCCCUAGUGGCAGCCCUGUACUCUGCUAUACUCUGGAAGGCUCAGAAUGCUCUGGAAGAUCUCUCUAGGCAUUUUCCAACACUUCAGACAGGGUUCAGUCUCUUAGCAAAGCAGGAAGAGUGGGAGGCACCUCAGCUGGAGAGGGAAGACAGAGGUAAGUAGACAGAGGGUGUCUCCUCCUUACAGUCUCAAACUUCUAAAGCUCACAGCCUUUGUUCUCUCACAUGACAAUGGUGCUGAGCCGGUGCCAAGCUUCACAAGCAACUGCCUUGCCCCUCCUGGGAAUUCUUCCCAGGGCCGGUCCCAGGCUGCUGCAUUCACAGAACAUCUUUCCUUUGAGCAGGAGCCAAACAUGAUCUCACAAGUCCUCAUGUGGCCUUCUGGGAAAAAAAUGUUUGUGCUGGUAAAUGUUUGGCUUGAGAAAGAACCCUGUUUUCCAAAGCUCGUAUGCUUUACAGGAGAUUACAGGGUUGGAAAAUGGAAGAAACUGGAGUAACACUGUCCUUCCCUCGAGAAAGGCAAAGGGGUAAGGGCAGAGAAGAUCCAGAUCCAGAUAGAUGACCUAGCAGGAGGACAAUCAGGCUUCCUGCGCAUCCUGACACUGAGUUCUUUAUCAGGCCAACAGUGGCUACACAGAAACAGAUAUGUUUUCCUUCUGCUUCUGCUCCUAAGCUGGUGCUCCUUGUGAUGUAGGUUAGAGAGGCUACCGCAUAGCACACGUGCAUUACUCCUUCAUCCUGUGCCUGGGGCAGACAUCGAAAAUUGACCACCACACACUUUUCUGCUGAAUUUUCAGAGGUUCACGGCACAGCAGUGCAGGACAAUGUGGCCAAUUGUGCAGAAAUAGCAGGCUGGAG
RNAcentral lists this long non-coding RNA (1331 nucleotides) under Marmota monax (woodchuck). Lineage: Eukaryota; Metazoa; Chordata; Mammalia; Rodentia; Sciuridae. The record is from RNAcentral.